Molecule: unclassified non-coding RNA, 378 nt
Filed under: plant metagenome
Description: partial contains 5.8S ribosomal RNA, internal transcribed spacer 2, and large subunit ribosomal RNA
Rfam family: 5.8S ribosomal RNA (bases 1-105)
Source: RNAcentral
GAAAUGCGAUAAGUAAUGUGAAUUGCAGAAUUCAGUGAAUCAUCGAAUCUUUGAACGCACCUUGCGCUCCUUGGUAUUCCUUGGAGCAUGCCUGUUUGAGUAUCAUGAAAUCUUCAAAGUAAAUCUUUUGUUAACUCAAUUGGUUUCUACUUUGGUAUUGGAGGUCUUUGCAGCUUCACACCUGCUCCUCUUUGUUCAUUAGCUGGAUCUCAGUGUUAUGCUUGGUUCCACUCGGCGUGAUAAGUUAUCUAUCGCUGAGGACACUGUAAAAGGUGGCCAAGGUAAAUGCAGAUGAACCGCUUCUAAUAGUCCAUUGACUUGGACAAUACUUUUAUGAUCUGACCUCGAAUCAGGUAGGAAUACCCGCUGAACUUAAGC